This is a small nucleolar RNA of Plasmodium falciparum IGH-CR14, 86 nucleotides long. The record is from Rfam. NCBI's taxonomy places the organism in Eukaryota, Apicomplexa, Aconoidasida, Haemosporida, Plasmodiidae.
UUUCAAUAUGAUGAUAAACAUUACCCAGCUCAUCUGAAGUAUAUAACCAUGAAGAUAUUUUUUCAUGCAUCACAAUCUGAUUGAAA